GAUGAACGCUGGCGGCGUGCCUAAUACAUGCAAGUCGAGCGAACAGACGAGGAGCUUGCUCCUCUGACGUUAGCGGCGGACGGGUGAGUAACACGUGGAUAACCUACCUAUAAGACUGGGAUAACUUCGGGAAACCGGAGCUAAUACCGGAUAAUAUAUUGAACCGCAUGGUUCAAUAGUGAAAGACGGUUUUGCUGUCACUUAUAGAUGGAUCCGCGCCGCAUUAGCUAGUUGGUAAGGUAACGGCUUACCAAGGCGACGAUGCGUAGCCGACCUGAGAGGGUGAUCGGCCACACUGGAGCUGAGACACGGUCCAGACUCCUACGGGAGGCAGCAGUAGGGAAUCUUCCGCAAUGGGCGAAAGCCUGACGGAGCAACGCCGCGUGAGUGAUGAAGGUCUGCGGAUCGUAAAACGCUGUUAUUAGGGAAGAACAAAUGUGUAAGUAACUAUGCACGUCUGGACGGUACCUAAUCAGAAAGCCACGGCUAACUACGU
RNAcentral lists this ribosomal RNA (496 nucleotides) under uncultured bacterium. RNAcentral describes it as "partial 16S ribosomal RNA". It matches the Rfam family "Bacterial small subunit ribosomal RNA", at positions 28 to 506 of the family's 1533-position model. The record is from RNAcentral.